RNAcentral lists this ribosomal RNA (329 nucleotides) under uncultured eukaryote. RNAcentral describes it as "partial 18S ribosomal RNA". It matches the Rfam family "Eukaryotic small subunit ribosomal RNA", at positions 1470 to 1796 of the family's 1831-position model. The record is from RNAcentral.
CCCUUAGAUGUUCUGGGCCGCACGCGCGCUACACUGAUGCAUUCAACGAGUCUAAAACCUGCUCUGAUAGGGGUGGGUAAUCUUUUGAAUGUGCAUCGUGAUUGGGAUAGAUGAUUGCAAUUUUUCAUCUUCAACGAGGAACGCCUAGUAAACGCAAGUCAUCAGCUUGCAUUGAUUACGUCCCUGCCCUUUGUACACACCGCCCGUCGCUCCUACCGAUUGAAUGAUCCGAUGAAUAUCAUGGAUUGAGGAUGCAAGUAGGUUCGCCUAUCUUCAUCUUCGAGAAGUGAAGUAAAUCUUAUCAUUUAGAGGAAGGAGAAGUCGUAACA